UCUCAUUUUCAUUUUUACUUUUAUUUUAGGCGACAGAGUCAGGAUCUCAAAGUUUUACUAUUGACCUUUCAUAUACAGAGGCAAUAAAGACUUUCAUAUAAGUUCUAAGGUUAGUAUGCAGUGGCGGAGCCACGUGUGGACAGGGAAUGGCCAUGGCCAUCCCAUUACUAUUAUACCCCUGAGCAAAACACUCUUUCUCAACUCUCUCACUAUCUCGAUUUCUCUCUGUAUGAUUUCUCCAGGUUCUCUCUCUUUCAUUCAUUUUCAAUUUUGUUGUUAUUAGGUUAACAAAGCUUGCUUGAAAUCUUCCAGUUUAACGAAAAUCUUUGCAGGUUUGUGAUUUUUUGUUUCUAAAAUAUAUUCUUUAGUUAUUUUUAUGCAAUGGUGAAGAUUUGUAUGUUUAAAAAGCUGUUUUUAUUCUUCCCCUUAAAAUGAGCAUAUUAGAUUGUAUAAAUCACCCUUUUGAUCAUUGUUUUCAAUUUUGUAAUCAAAAUUUGAUUUUGCUUAUGUUUUGUCAUCUGGGUUGUUUUCUAAUUCUUAUUAUCAAUAUUGUGUUUCUUUUUAUUUUUUGGGUGUGGGUCAGUAUUGCUUUUACCGUCAUGAUUCAUGUAGCAGGAUAAAGUUGAUAUUAGAAUCAACCCUUUAAGCUAUGGAUAAAUAUUUAACUUGAUAUUGCACAGUAAAUGAUUCACGAGAUAUUGAACAGUUCAAAUUUAACAUCAUGGAGUGUUCAUAGCUUUAUUUAUAGAUGUGUUGGAUAGUAUUGGUAUUAACAUGUUUAUCUACAAAUGACUAGAUAGUAUCCUGGCAAAAAUUUAGUGAUUCAUUAAGUGGUAUUGGUUGGUUACAUUAGCCACUGUUACUUCAGUGAUGCAUUUUUGCAGCUUAGUUCAUUUCACUCACUAUUUAUUUAGUUUUUUUUUAUGAUUGUAACUAUUAUUGGUGUACACUGAUUGAAUUGAUUUUGCUGUGACUUGAAAAACUUAAGGAAAAUUAAUUUUAAAACCCGUUUAAUUCUUUUUGAAGUAACUUGGAUUGGAUUGAUUUUUCUCAAUUCCAGUAACUUGUUUUGCUUCUCAAUUAUAAUGUUUAUUUAAAAUAGUUUUGAAUUGCUUGUUUGCUUAUUCAUACUAUAUCAAAGAGAGAUAUUUGAUUUUGAAACUGGAAUUUGCAGAAAAAAUUCAAGAGGAAGAGUCGAAAAAUCGAUUCAAUUUCUAAAAAUUGAUAGCGGCCAUCCCAAAAAAAUAUGUCUGGCUCCGCCACUGUUAGUAUGAAUGAUCAAAGCGGGAGGUCCCACAUAACCUUGUAUUUUAUAUCCGUUUGGAUAUGAGAUAAUUCAGAUCAAUUUCCAGUUUCCCCUACCCAUCGUCUUGAUUUCCCAAAUUCUUUGGAGGACGCAAGAGGGAUAAGAAGCCUUCUCCCUCCUUCCCAAGUUACUCUGCCUUCCUUUGAUACUGUUGACAUGCUCAUGUGGUCCCAUACUCCCAAUGGAGAGUUACCUCUAAAGGAGGCAUACAAGUUUAAAGAUCAUAACACAUCAAAGCUAUCUUGGACAAAAUAUGUCUGGAAUAGGGAUGUUCCUCC
This 1584-nucleotide long non-coding RNA is filed under the name Medicago truncatula (barrel medic). Its description in RNAcentral is "long non-coding RNA (MTRU_LNC004875)". Lineage: Eukaryota; Viridiplantae; Streptophyta; Magnoliopsida; Fabales; Fabaceae. The record is from RNAcentral.